RNAcentral lists this long non-coding RNA (491 nucleotides) under Homo sapiens (human). The record is from RNAcentral. Lineage: Eukaryota; Metazoa; Chordata; Mammalia; Primates; Hominidae.
CUCCGGAAGUGCGGAUCCCAGCGGUGGUCGUGUAGCUGAGCAGGCCUGGGGCUUGGUUCUAUGUCCCUGUGGCUAUGUUUCCAGUGUCCUCUGGGUGUUUCCAAGAGCAACAAGAAACGAAUAAAUCUCUGAUGAAGAGAUACCAUUUGACAUUUUAGAGAUGGCUGCAUGCAAACUCUUAAAACAUUUGAGCUGCUGCAGUCUCGCCAGAUCUUCAGGCUCUGUCUCUGAUUCUAGUGCUCUUGUUAUUUCCACCAUAUCUGCAGUUACUUCCUCCACAGAAGUCGUGAACCCCUGUGUCAUCAGUGAGGGUUGGAAUAAUCUUCCCAACUUCUCUCUCUCUCUCUUUUAUUUUUUUGAGAUGAAGUCUUGCCUGGGCUGGAGUGCAGUGAUGCGAUCUCAGCUCACUGCAACCUCCACCUCCCGUGUUCAAACAAUUCUCCUGCCUCAGCCUCCCAAGUGUUUGGGAUUACAGUCACCCCCGACCAGGC